CUACGGGUGGCACCAGUGGGGAAUAUUGGACAAUGGGGGAAACCCUGAUCCAGCAAUGCCGCGUGUGUGAAGAAGGCCUGCGGGUUGUAAAGCACUUUCGGUUGGGAGGACUGCUUCUAGCACUAAUAUUGUUGGAAGUUGACGUUACCUUCAGAAGAAGCACCGGCUAACUCCGUGCCAGCAGCCGUGGUAAUACGGAGGGUGCAAGCGUUAAUCGGAAUUACUGGGCGUAAAGCGCGCGUAGGCGGCUAGAUCAGUCGGGGGUGAAAGCCCCGGGCUUAACCUGGGAACUGCAUCCGAUACUGUCUAGCUUGAGUACAGGAGAGGAGAGUGGAAUUCCACAUGUAGCGGUGAAAUGCGUAGAUAUGUGGAGGAACACCAAUGGCGAAGGCAGCUCUCUGGCCUGAUACUGACGCUGAGGUGCGAAAGCGUGGGGAGCAAACAGGAUUAGAUACCCGCGUAGUC
Molecule: ribosomal RNA, 465 nt
Filed under: uncultured bacterium
Lineage: Bacteria
Description: partial 16S ribosomal RNA
Rfam family: Bacterial small subunit ribosomal RNA
Source: RNAcentral